UGAUUUUUCCUUUCUUCUUUCAGUUAGUUCUGCGAUUUUCCUUUCAGUCUUUCAGUCUUUCAGUUUGUGCGAUUUUCCUUUUAAUCUUCUUUCGGUUUCUUCUCUUUCAGUUUUGCGUGAGAAUAGGUAGCCACAGUUCGUUUUUUUUUUUUCAAAAUUUUUUCUUUUUUUUUUGCUUUUAAUAAUACACACACAACCACAGUCUUCUUCUUCUUGAUUUGCUCUACUCAAACUGAUAGACUUUGUUGGAUGAGCUUUCUUUCCAUGACCCCAUUGAUGUGAUGACUCUUUAAACUUAUGUUGAAUCAAUUGCAGUGAGUUGUAUUCAUGUUUAGGAAUUGCCUUUUGAAUUGAAUCUUUGAGCUUGCCAUGGUGAAAAAUAUAUUGAUGACACUCAUUAGAGAGAAUGAAUUGAAAGUUGUGUGAAUAAAUUUAAUAUGACUUGUUUU
Molecule: long non-coding RNA, 449 nt
Filed under: Manihot esculenta (cassava)
Lineage: Eukaryota; Viridiplantae; Streptophyta; Magnoliopsida; Malpighiales; Euphorbiaceae
Description: long non-coding RNA (MESC_LNC010289)
Source: RNAcentral